RNAcentral lists this ribosomal RNA (401 nucleotides) under uncultured bacterium. RNAcentral's name for it is "bacterial SSU rRNA". It matches the Rfam family "Bacterial small subunit ribosomal RNA", at positions 918 to 1321 of the family's 1533-position model. The record is from RNAcentral.
GGCCCGCACAAGCGGCGGAGCAUGUGGUUUAAUUCGAUGAUACGCGAGGAACCUUACCAGGGCUUAAAUGCAGAGCGAAUAGUUUGGAAACAGACUAGCCUUCGGGCGAUCUGCAAGGUGCUGCAUGGCUGUCGUCAGCUCGUGUCGUGAAAUGUUGGGUUAAGUCCCGCAACGAGCGCAACCCCCUAUCUUUAGUUGCCAGCGAGUAAUGUCGGGGACUCUAAAGAAACUGCCUACGCAAGUAGAGAGGAAGGCGGGGACGACGUCAAGUCAUCACGGCCCUUACGUCCUGGGCCACACACGUGCUACAAUGGUCGGUACAGAGGGCAGCUACCGGGUGACCGGAUGCGAAUCUCUAAAGCCGAUCUCAGUUCGGAUUGGAGUCUGCAACUCGACUCUAU